UAUGGUAAUGCCAGCCGCCGCGGUAAUACGUAGGGGGCAAGCGUUAUCCGGAAUUACUGGGUGUAAAGGGUGCGUAGGUGGUAUGGCAAGUCAGAAGUGAAAACCCAGGGCUUAACUCUGGGACUGCUUUUGAAACUGUCAGACUAGAGUGCAGGAGAGGUAAGCGGAAUUCCUAGUGUAGCGGUGAAAUGCGUAGAUAUUAGGAGGAACAUCAGUGGCGAAGGCGGCUUACUGGACUGAAACUGACACUGAGGCACGAAAGCGUGGGGAGCAAACAGG
RNAcentral lists this ribosomal RNA (279 nucleotides) under Anaerostipes hadrus ATCC 29173 = JCM 17467. RNAcentral's name for it is "Anaerostipes hadrus DSM 3319 partial 16S ribosomal RNA". It matches the Rfam family "Bacterial small subunit ribosomal RNA", at positions 496 to 776 of the family's 1533-position model. Lineage: Bacteria; Bacillati; Bacillota; Clostridia; Lachnospirales; Lachnospiraceae. The record is from RNAcentral.